UACGGAGGAGGCAAGCGUUAUCCGGAAUUAUUGGGCGUAAAGCGUCCGCAGGUGGCACCUCAAGUCUGCUGUCAAAGACCGGGGCUUAACCCCAGAAAGGCAGUGGAAACUGAAGUGCUAGAGUGCAGUAGGGGUAGAGGGAAUUCCCGGUGUAGCGGUGAAAUGCGUAGAGAUCGGGAAGAACAUCAGUGGCGAAAGCGCUCUACUGGACCUUAUCUGACAUUGAGGGACGAAAGCUAGGGGAGCGAAUGGG
This 253-nucleotide ribosomal RNA is filed under the name uncultured bacterium. Its description in RNAcentral is "partial 16S ribosomal RNA". It matches the Rfam family "Bacterial small subunit ribosomal RNA", at positions 524 to 776 of the family's 1533-position model. The record is from RNAcentral.